This 1424-nucleotide ribosomal RNA is filed under the name Cenangium ferruginosum. RNAcentral describes it as "SSU rRNA". It matches the Rfam family "Eukaryotic small subunit ribosomal RNA", at positions 121 to 1576 of the family's 1831-position model. Lineage: Eukaryota; Fungi; Ascomycota; Leotiomycetes; Helotiales; Cenangiaceae. The record is from RNAcentral.
UUGAUAGUACCUUACUACUUGGAUAACCGUGGUAAUUCUAGAGCUAAUACAUGCUAAAAACCUCGACUUCGGAAGGGGUGUAUUUAUUAGAUAAAAAACCAAUGCCCUUCGGGGCUCACUGGUGAUUCAUAAUAACUUAACGAAUCGCAUGGCCUUGUGCCGGCGAUGGUUCAUUCAAAUUUCUGCCCUAUCAACUUUCGAUGGUAGGAUAGUGGCCUACCAUGGUUUCAACGGGUAACGGGGAGUUAGGGCUCGACUCCGGAGAGGGAGCCUGAGAAACGGCUACCACAUCCAAGGAAGGCAGCAGGCGCGCAAAUUAUCCAAUCCCGACACGGGGAGAUAGUGACAAUAAAUACUGAUACAGGGCUCUUUUGGGUCUUGUAAUUGGAAUGAGUACAAUUUAAAUCCCUUAACGAGGAACAAUUGGAGGGCAAGUCUGGUGCCAGCAGCCGCGGUAAUUCCAGCUCCAAUAGCGUAUAUUAAAGUUGUUGCAGUUAAAAAGCUCGUAGUUGAACCUUGGGCCUGGUUGGCCGGUCCGCCUCACCGCGUGCACUGGACCGACCGGGCCUUUCCUUCUGUGGAUCGGCAUGUCCUUCACUGGAUGUGCUCGGGAAGCAGGACUUUUACUUUGAAAAAAUUAGAGUGUUCAAAGCAGGCCUAUGCUCGAAUACAUUAGCAUGGAAUAAUAAAAUAGGACGUGUGGUUCUAUUUUGUUGGUUUCUAGGACCGCCGUAAUGAUUAAUAGGGUCAGUUGGGGUCAUCAGUAUUGCGUUGUCAGAGGUGAAAUUCUUGGAUUUACGCAAGACUAACUACUGCGAAAGCAUUUGACAAAGAUGUUUUCAUUAAUCAGUGAACGAAAGUUAGGGGAUCGAAGACGAUCAGAUACCGUCGUAGUCUUAACCAUAAACUAUGCCGACUAGGGAUCGGGCGAUGUUAUCUUUUUGACUCGCUCGGCACCUCACGAGAAAUCAAAGUCUUUGGGUUCUGGGGGGAGUAUGGUCGCAAGGCUGAAACUUAAAGAAAUUGACGGAAAGGCACCACCAGGCGUGGAACCUGCGGCUUAAUUUGACUCAACACGGGGAAACUCACCAGGUCCAGACACAAUAAGGAUUGACAGAUUGAGAGCUCUUUCUUGAUUUUGUGGGUGGUGGUGCAUGGCCGUUCUUAGUUGGUGGAGUGAUUUGUCUGCUUAAUUGCGAUAACGAACGAGACCUUAACCUGCUAAAUAGCCAGGCUAGCUUUGGCUGGUCGCCGGCUUCUUAGAGGGACUAUCGGCUCAAGCCGAUGGAAGUUUGAGGCAAUAACAGGUCUGUGAUGCCCUUAGAUGUCCUGGGCUGCACGCGCGUUACACUGACAGGGCCAACGAGUUCAUCACCUUGGCCGAAAGGCCUGGGUAAUCUUGUUAAACCCUGUCGUGCUGGGGA